AUGAUAGACGUAUUGUUCGUUAGUAGCCGUAGCUGUUCUUGGAGUGAUGUUGUUGAUGACGAUGUUGGCGACAAUCUGCUACUGAUGGCGUUGGAGACGACGAUGAGUAGCGCCGCCCAACUUGGACGAAAGACGGCCCGUGAUGAUGAACUUGAGCAGUCAUGCAGUGCGCUUCCCAAAACCCUAAAUCAUGCUCUCCGGUCGGUGCAGAAUUGCAAGGGCAAAGGGUUCCUUUUGCGGCGGGAUCCGGUGGUCGUUGGCGGCCGGCAGCGGCUUCUGCGGCGGUCGGUGUGCGUGAUCUGGCGCGUCCCUUCCUCCCCUGUUCGGCGUGCGGGCCAGCCUGGUCGGGUCGCGCUUCCUCUUGGUCGCCGGUUCUGUACAGGAGGUGCUGCUGGUGGCGGAGAUCUAGUUCGGUCGAAAUCCCUGGUCAGCCAUGACCGGCCGCGUCGACAGCUAUGCCUGAGGGAGCCGUUUCCCUCCUUGGAGGCGUCGGUAUGGACUGAUCUCCUCACUUCACCUUCCCCUAGGUUUCCCGGGCGAAAGCCCCAACUCUGUUGGGCGGCGGCGGCGCUCAGGGCGUCGUUCCCUUCUUGA
This 594-nucleotide ribosomal RNA is filed under the name Triticum aestivum (bread wheat). Its description in RNAcentral is "partial small subunit ribosomal RNA". Lineage: Eukaryota; Viridiplantae; Streptophyta; Magnoliopsida; Poales; Poaceae. The record is from RNAcentral.